AGAGACACAGCAAGUAUAGACAGCUCGGAAGACCUUGACCCCCACCCACCCCAAUCGACGUGUUUUCCUGGGCUUUACUCUUUGCUUCCGUUAGUCACUUUGGCCAAGGUUUCUCCUGCGUAGACGUCAGGAUGGCGAGGACAGAGGCCAGGAAGGAAGGAGAUGUGUCCCAGAAAGCUGAAGCCCCCUCCUGGGGCAGCCUUUUGGAAGGAGCUUCUGAUACCUAACCUGGAUCAUUCCUGCUGCAGUAUCAGCAGGUGUCAGCCGGGGAAGGAGAAGCCUUCUGUGAAUGACAGUCCUUCAGAUGACUAAAAACAGCUGAACUCUAUCCCAAGCAGAUAUAAGAGAGGUGGAGAUCAGGAUCUCACCCUCCCCAGCCUCUAAUAACCCCAAAUCCUGGAUUGGUG
Molecule: long non-coding RNA, 407 nt
Filed under: Homo sapiens (human)
Lineage: Eukaryota; Metazoa; Chordata; Mammalia; Primates; Hominidae
Description: HSALNT0047195
Source: RNAcentral